This 599-nucleotide ribosomal RNA is filed under the name Prorocentrum hoffmannianum. RNAcentral's name for it is "LSU rRNA". It matches the Rfam family "Eukaryotic large subunit ribosomal RNA", at positions 64 to 612 of the family's 3401-position model. The record is from RNAcentral. Lineage: Eukaryota; Dinophyceae; Prorocentrales; Prorocentraceae.
CCCAAAAGGGAUUCCUUCAGUAAUGGCGAAUGAACGGGGAAAAGCUCAGCAAAGAAAUCAGGGACCCCGGCCUUGAGUUGUGGACUUGAGAGGUAUUGCCAAUGGUGGCGCAGGUGCGGGCCUCUUGGAAAAGGGCACCACAGAGGGUGUGAGUCCUGUUUGUCAUCUGUAGUCCGCCAUGUACGGCAUGACUCCUCAGAGUCACGUUCCUUGGAAUUGGAGCGCGAAGGUGGUGGUGGCUUUCAUCUCAAGCUAAGUAUGGGUUCGAGACCGAUAGCAAACAAGUACCAUGAGGGAAGAUUGAAAAGAGCUUUGGAAAGAGAGUUAAAAGUGCCCGAACUUGCUGAUAGGGAAGCGAAGGGAGCUGACGUUGCUUGGUGACAUAUUCCGCGCAAGAGUAGGAUGGGUUCUGAUUGCAAUCUGCGUAGUGCUUCUUGCCGUGCGUGUCGAUGCCAAGCAAUGAGUGGGGAGAGCACCAGGGAUAAUGAUUGUUUCUGUCCCCGGGUGGCCGAAGGUGCCUGGUCGCAUCCAUUUGUGGGCUGAAACAAAUGGUGGCUGGUUGCAGCGCCCUGUGCCUGCUAGGCAGUUGGGGUGUAGCC